This is a long non-coding RNA of Apis mellifera (honey bee), 3241 nucleotides long. RefSeq lists it as uncharacterized. The transcript has 3 exons. Lineage: Eukaryota; Metazoa; Arthropoda; Insecta; Hymenoptera; Apidae. The record is from RefSeq and is a predicted model, not a curated record.
UAUAAUAAAAAAUACACGAAGCUAUCUAUUCUUUUAAUAAAUUCAAUCUAGAUAUAUAGAAAAUAAAAUUUCGUAUCGCGUGAACGACGCCGUUACGUGGCGUUUCUUCCAAGAAAUAAAUAAAAAAAAAAAAGAAAAAAACUAAAAAUAAUUUUCCAAUAUAUAUAUAUAUAUAUACAAUAAUACAGUCCUAUAUAAUUCUCGACCAUUUUCAACUUCACCUCACGAUCCAGAAACAACGGAGGAAGGUAGAAUCUCGAUUGCACUCGAGUAUCCCGCAACGAAGACGGACACAUGGAUCCUUGACCAAACGGAAACUCGGCAAGGAUGAAGGCAUUGCGUGAAGUAGGUCGUGUCUGACGCGUUAUCUUCCCCCCCUCCUUCCCCCUCCACUUGCGCGAUAGACACGUACGGCGGAAGGGAGUUGCAACGGCUCGAAGCGAGAUAAAAUAGGAUAAAUAGCGGUGCGGGCAGGCGUGAAGUUAGCAGAGAAGAAUUCAGAUAAAAAUUCGAAGUGAAGACGUUGGCCGAGAUAGUGGAAGUGGAAUAAAUUAUAACGAUUAGCGUCGAGCGUAUAUAAUAUGUAUAUAAUAUAUAUACACAUGCUCGUAUCUUUCGUGUAUUUACGUUCGAAUUGUGUAUCGAUUCUAUUCCACUGUUUCGAACAGUCGGUCGACGCGACGCGGCGAGCUCGGAUAUAAUAGAACGAUCCACCAAUUUCGAGAUUGACUAUUUUUUAAACCCGUAUCAACUGCGUUAAUAAUUAAAAGAAAUCACGCUGUAUUACAAAAUGUGUUCAAUUAAAUCGAUACUUACGAAAAGGGACUUGUUUUUUUCUUUUGAGAGGCAAAUAUACAGCGUCGGCCUCGAAACGUCGCGGCGGUAUCCAAUUAACAACACCGUCAAAAAUUGAUCAGGCGGAGAAUUAUAAAACACGGUUCUAAUUGUGGGCAGCGGAUUUUUCCGCGUGUCACGGCUCGGCUAAAGAAUUUUUAUUCGGCGGAUUUCACGUCAAUUAAGCGGGAGAGGAAGGAUGACAACUCGUUAUAUCGAUGGUCACGGGACGACACUCUCGGACGAGAUGUGCAAAAAGAAGAAAAAAAAAGAAGGUAUGGAAAGGGACGAUUAUUUGUGAAGAUUGGAGAAAAUGAAAAGAGGACAGUACGUAUAUAUAGGCGGAAAUUUUAAUUGAGAGGAUGAGUAAUUGAGAAUCCCAUUGAUGUUAAUAGAUAUAAAAAUUGGGAAUAUUUUUAUCGAUUCGACGAAAGAUAAAGGUAAAUAGCUUGUGUAAUUUUUCAAUUUGUUGUUAAUCUUUUUGUUGCUAAUAUUUAUUCCUGACAGGCUAGGGAAAAAACUUGCGUAAAAAGCCUGCUGAAAAAUUGAAGUUUAUGAACAUUAUAUUUCUUGUUCAAAUUCGCUUUUUGCGUUAUUAUUAACGCAAGAAUGUCUCUUUAUUUCGUAAAUAAUCUGAACGUAUCAAAUGUGAAAAUUUGCAAUAUAUAAAUAUCAAACAAAAUUAAAUAAUCUAAACUAAUAAAGAUUAUAUUAUACAAAUAUAUUUUUUCCAUCGAUUGUUCUCGAUCACUCAAAUAUAAAAAUUACUUAUUCUGAUCCUAAACCCCUGUUAUCCCAUUUCUUUUCAAAAUUCCAAUACGCAUAAAACCUAAGCCCCUGUGCAGUCCUUCUUCCACUUCGCAAACGUCUCCUUAUAUCGUGCACCCUCAUCCUCGAGCAAUUAACGUUUACACCGCGCGGCCCACCCAGUCCUCGUUUCGCUCUCGAAAACUCUUUAAGAACCGUUUCCCACUCCCCUCCCCGCUCCCUGCCGCUCGCUCGCCAGUGCUUUGGACCGGAGGCCCGGUGGAGGGGGAAGAAGAAGCUCGCUCCUUCGUGGACAGCGUGGAACCCGGCCAGAAUCGGUUCAUCGAGUUACUCGUAACGGACCGUCGAAGCACGCUCUGCCAAAAUGUAGACCCGCACCUUUUCCUUUUCCAUUCGAUACGAAGAAAAGCGUAUCAUUCCGGAUUAUUCUUACGACGAAUCGCGUUAACUAAUUCGAAAGAUUAUAUGUCGGCUUAACUUGCUUGUUUUUCUUAAUGUGAUAGUGUUAUUCAAUUUGGUUUCGUGUGCGAUAGUUAAUCAAUUAUUAUUAGUGUCGCGUUUCAAUUCUCGAAGGGAAUAAGAGAGUGGAUAUAUAUAUAAUGUAUCGAGAGAUGAUUGAAAUUUUAAUACGAUAGUAUUAUUCGAAGGAAAUAUUUAAUUAUUCUUCAAACAAUUCUUAAUGAUAUAUAGUAUAGCAUACCACGAUUCAUUUGUCGAUUGUGACUUCAACGGCUCGAUUAAAUUAUCGAUCGAAAUUUCGUGAGAGAAGAGACAUUACACGGUAUAAUAUAAAAUACCGUGGAGUUGGAAGUUGAGCCGCGUGAACGAAUAACGUUUGAUCGAUGAAAGUUGAGUUUCAUUAGGUCGAAGGGUUUAUAAUCGAGACGGAGCCGUUAGAAGUGAGCGCGAUAAAAUCGAUUUUCGCUAAUUAUGGCGAAAAGUUGUAUAGAACUGUUUCGGACAGUUAUUGCAACGUAUUAAAUUUUCCUCGUGCGAAGACGUUCGAUUCGCGCGUAACAAGCGAUGUAAUAGAUUUAUACAAAAUUCAAUUACACGCUAUUACGAUCUACACUAAUCAAUGUCCUAUUAUGACGGAUAAAAUCUGAAAUUUAUUAUUAUUUUAAAUUUAAAUUUUUGACUCGUAAAGAAUCUAUUAGAUUUAAUUAAUUUUUUUUUUUUUUGUUCAAGGAAGACAAUGAUUCGCGCGUAACAAGCGAUGUAAUAGAUUUAUACAAAAUUCAAUUUCUAAGAUUUACGCGCUUAUGAGUUUUUUCAUCAGUCACUAUUAAGUCAAGCAUCAUUUAUGCCGGGAAGAAUCUUUCUUCGCCAUUGCACCGUGAGAGGAGAAGAUAUAUUGCCAGCAUCUAUAAUGCAACCUUGAAUGAAUAACAUAACCUUUAUUGAAUGCUCGACGAGCAUCAAGAUUGGAUUUACGACAAGCUUAAGAUUCAACAUCAGUUUCACCGGAAGAUAUAACGUAUAUAUGCUUAAAUGACGACUUAAUCUCGCUUAAAGAUUACUUGGAAGAGAAAAUAACGUUAUUAUACGAAUCAAUCGUUUGUUUUUAUUCAUUCUGAUUAUAUUGAAAAUUCAAUAAUAUAUAUAUAAUGUAAUGUAUAGGAUGAUACAAUGGAAAAAU